RNAcentral lists this unclassified non-coding RNA (230 nucleotides) under uncultured fungus. RNAcentral describes it as "sequence contains ITS1". Lineage: Eukaryota; Fungi. The record is from RNAcentral.
GUAUUAAUUGCGUGUUAUCGCAAGAGACAUUCUACACUGUAUCGAGUUUGUGUGAAAACGCAAGCCCCCCCUCUGAACGAGCCAAAAGGGGGACCCACGCGGUGAUGCACAAAAAGGGUGAGAUGGAUUGGUGUGAAAGGGCUCGGGCGUGCACGACCUUUGGAGGUCAGCGACAGCCCUUGCACCUCCGUUGUACGAUAAUGAUCCUUCCGCAGGUUCACCUACGGAAA